ACAGCCCCGUACACAAAAAUGCACAUGCUGUGAGCUCGAUGAGUAGGGCGGGACACGUGGUAUCCUGUCUGAAUAUGGGGGGACCAUCCUCCAAGGCUAAAUACUCCUGACUGACCGAUAGUGAACCAGUACCGUGAGGGAAAGGCGAAAAGAACCCCGGCGAGGGGAGUGAAAAAGAACCUGAAACCGUGUACGUACAAGCAGUGGGAGCACGCUUAGGCGUGUGACUGCGUACCUUUUGUAUAAUGGGUCAGCGACUUAUAUUCUGUAGCAAGGUUAACCGAAUAGGGGAGCCGAAGGGAAACCGAGUCUUAACUGGGCGUUAAGUUGCAGGGUAUAGACCCGAAACCCGGUGAUCUAGCCAUGGGCAGGUUGAAGGUUGGGUAACACUAACUGGAGGACCGAACCGACUAAUGUUGAAAAAUUAGCGGAUGACUUGUGGCUGGGGGUGAAAGGCCAAUCAAACCGGGAGAUAGCUGGUUCUCCCCGAAAGCUAUUUAGGUAGCGCCUCGUGAAUUCAUCUCCGGGGGUAGAGCACUGUUUCGGCAAGGGGGUCAUCCCGACUUACCAACCCGAUGCAAACUGCGAAUACCGGAGAAUGUUAUCACGGGAGACACACGGCGGGUGCUAACGUCCGUCGUGAAGAGGGAAACAACCCAGACCGCCAGCUAAGGUCCCAAAGUCAUGGUUAAGUGGGAAACGAUGUGGGAAGGCCCAGACAGCCAGGAUGUUGGCUUAGAAGCAGCCAUCAUUUAAAGAAAGCGUAAUAGCUCACUGGUCGAGUCGGCCUGCGCGGAAGAUGUAACGGGGCUAAACCAUGCAC
RNAcentral lists this ribosomal RNA (823 nucleotides) under Escherichia coli. RNAcentral describes it as "partial 23S ribosomal RNA". It matches the Rfam family "Bacterial large subunit ribosomal RNA", at positions 367 to 1194 of the family's 2925-position model. The record is from RNAcentral. Lineage: Bacteria; Pseudomonadati; Pseudomonadota; Gammaproteobacteria; Enterobacterales; Enterobacteriaceae.